Molecule: ribosomal RNA, 400 nt
Filed under: phytoplankton environmental sample
Lineage: Eukaryota
Description: partial small subunit ribosomal RNA
Rfam family: Eukaryotic small subunit ribosomal RNA
Source: RNAcentral
AGCUCCACGAGCAUGUACGUAAGUUGUUGCAGUUAAAAAGCUCGUAGUUGGAUCUCAGGCUUGUGGCCGGUGGUCCGCCCGGUACGGGUGUGUACUGCCGUGCCCGGUCUACGUCUGGUCUCACUUGCAUAGUGUCCUUAACCGGGUGCUAUGCAAUGCCAGAAAUUUUACUCUGAAAAAAUUAGAGUGCUCAAAGCAGGCCGUUGUGCUUGAAUACUGUUGCAUGGAAUAAUGGAAUAGGACCUCGGAUCUAUUUUGUUGGUUUUCGGAGUCGAGGUAAUGAUUAAGAGGGACAGACGGGGGCAUUCGUAUUGCGCCGUUAGAGGUGAAAUUCUUGGAUCGGCGCAAGACGAACAACUGCGAAAGCAUUUGCCAAGGAUGUUUUCAUUAAUCAAGAACG